CGCACAUUGCGCCCGCUAGUAUUCUGGCGGGCAUGCCUGUUCGAGCGUCAUUUCAACCCUCAAGCCCCCCGCGGCUUGGUGUUGGGGCUUUCUUCCUGCGGUCCGCCGCAGGAGCCCCUAAAGACAGUGGCGGACCCGCCGUGGCUCCGAGCGCAGUAGUUUUACGCCUCGCUAUGGAGUUCCCCCGGCGGGCUUUCCAGCCGUCAAAACCCCGCGGCUCCGGCCCGGAACCCCACUAUAAGGUUGACCUCGGAUCAGGUAGGAAUACCCGCUGAACUUAA
This 281-nucleotide unclassified non-coding RNA is filed under the name Atractium stilbaster. RNAcentral describes it as "partial contains 5.8S ribosomal RNA, internal transcribed spacer 2, and large subunit ribosomal RNA". Lineage: Eukaryota; Fungi; Ascomycota; Sordariomycetes; Hypocreales; Nectriaceae. The record is from RNAcentral.